GACGAACGCUGGCGGCGUGCUUAACACAUGCAAGUCGAACAGGAUUUCGUAAACAGAAGCCUCGGUGGAAGAUUACUAAUGAGAGUGGCGAACGGGUGAGUAACGCGUGAGCAACCUGCCUAUGACAGUGGGAUAGCCUCGGGAAACCGGGAUUAAUACCGCAUAAAAUCGUAGAAACACAUGUUUUAACGGUCAAAGAUUUAUCGGUCAUAGAUGGGCUCGCGUCUGAUUAGCUAGUUGGUGAGAUAACAGCCCACCAAGGCGACGAUCAGUAGCCGGUCUGAGAGGAUGAACGGCCACAUUGGAACUGAGACACGGUCCAAACUCCUACGGGAGGCAGCAGUGGGGAAUAUUGCACAAUGGGGGAAACCCUGAUGCAGCGACGCCGCGUGAACGAAGAAGGUAUUCGUAUCGUAAAGUUCUGUCCUAUGGGAAGAUAAUGACAGUACCAUAGAAGAAAGCUCCGGCUAAAUACGUG
RNAcentral lists this ribosomal RNA (478 nucleotides) under uncultured bacterium. RNAcentral describes it as "partial 16S ribosomal RNA". It matches the Rfam family "Bacterial small subunit ribosomal RNA", at positions 28 to 507 of the family's 1533-position model. The record is from RNAcentral.